Molecule: transfer RNA, 76 nt
Filed under: Parapedobacter luteus
Lineage: Bacteria; Pseudomonadati; Bacteroidota; Sphingobacteriia; Sphingobacteriales; Sphingobacteriaceae
Also listed under: 1 other name
Description: tRNA_Phe_GAA
Rfam family: tRNA
About the family: Transfer RNA (tRNA) molecules are approximately 80 nucleotides in length. Their secondary structure includes four short double-helical elements and three loops (D, anti-codon, and T loops).
Source: RNAcentral
GGUACCAUAGCUCAGUUGGUAGAGCAAAGGACUGAAAAUCCUUGUGUCGCUGGUUCGAUUCCAGCUGGUACCACAA